CAAAGUCUUUCUGACAUGGCCAUAUGUUACUUUUAAAAUAAGAAAAGUAGUAUUUAAAAAUUUAGGCUUAUCAAAAUUAUCUUUAAAAAUAUUACCAUGUAAUGUUAUAUUUAUUGCUGAAUAAAUAGUAUCAGGUUGACUAGCCAAUUAAAACUAAUAAUUUUCUCCUCAUUACAACAUACGUCAAAGUAUGUUUAAGAUAGAUUAAAAGCAUAUGUUUAAAAAAAACCCUCAAAGUACAGCUUAAAAAUAAGGGGUUUUAGAAACUGGUAUACACUGGAAGAGGGAGGUUUUUAAAAGACUUACAUUCAAGGGAAAGCCAAAGAAGGAAGAAUAAUAGAUUGUUCAACACAAAAAAAUAUACUUGCACAUAAAGGGAAACCUCAGAGGUAUUGCAGGAAAACUCCCACAAUAAAGUAAAUAUCAGAGUAGAGUGAGUCACAGGUAUUUUUUGGUUUCCCAAUGUACAUAACAGUUAUGUUCAUAGUACGUUGUAAUCUAUUAAGUGUGUAAUAGCAUUACGCUUCAAAAGUGUGUAUGUGUAUAUAUAUACAUAUAUAUAUAUUUUGCUUUUUAGGGCCGCACCUGCAGCAUAUGGAAGUUCCUAGGCUAGGGGUCAAGUUGGACCUGUAGCUGCUGGCCUACACCACAGCCACAGCAACAUCAGAUCCGAGCCACGUCUGCAACCUAUACCACAGCUCACUGCAAUGCCAGAUCCUUAACCUACUGAGCAAGGCCAGGGAUUGAACCUGCAUACUCACAGCUGCUAGUCAAAUUCACUUCUGCUGAGCCACGACAGGAACUCCAAAAGGAUGUAAUAUAUGGUAUGAUGAUUACAGUUAAUAAUACCAUAUUACAAACUGGAAAGUUACAAAGAAAACAGAUCUUAAAUGUUCUCACUGGAGAAAAUAAAUGAUAAUUAUGUCACGUGAAGGAAGUGUUAGUAUUACGGUGGGAAUCUUUUUGUAAUAUGUAAGUGUAUCAACAUGUGUAUAACUUAAACUUAUACAAAUAUUAGAUAUCAAUUAUAAUCUCAAUAAAGCUGGAGAAUAAAUAUAAUUUUUAUUCAGAGACUUCCAUGUAUCAAUGAAAAACUAUCUGUCACUCACUGUCACUGAAAUUAACAAUCUUAACACACCUAACACCAUACUCAAAAAUAAACUCAAAAUGGAUUAAAGACCUAAAUAUAAGAUCAGAUACUCUAAAACUGUUAGAGGAAAACAUAGGCCAAACACUCUCUGACAUAAACCACAGCAGUACCUUCUCAGAUCCAUCUCCUAGAGUAAUGACAAUAAAAACAAAAAUAAACAAAUGGGACUUAAUUAAACUUGAAAGUUUCUGCCCAGCAAAGAAAACCCUAAACAAAAUGAAAAGACAACUCACAGAAUGGGAGAAAAUAUUUACAAAUGAAGCGACUGACAAGGGAUUAAUCUCCAAAAUUUAUAAAAACCUUCUGCAGCUCAAUAUCAAAAAAAACAAACAAACAAACAACCCCAUCAAAAAAUAGGCAGAAGAUCUAAACAGACAAUUCUCCAAAGACACAUAGAUGGACAAAAAACACAUGAAAAGAUGUUUAACAUCACUAUUAGAGAAACGCAGAUGAAAACUACUAUGAAACACCACCUUACACCAGCCAGAAUGGCCAUCAUCAAAAUGUCUACAAACAAAAAAUGCUGGAGAGGGUGUGCAGAAAAGGGAACCCUAUUACACUGUUGGUGGGAAUGCAAAUUGGUGCAACCACUGUGGAAAACAAUACAGAGAUUCCUAAGAAAACUAAAAAUAGAAUUACCUUUUGAUACAGCAAUCCAGAGAAAACCGUGACUCAAAAAGAUACAUGUACUCCAAUGUUCACUGCAGUACUAUAUACAAUAGCCAAGACAUGGAAACAACCUAAAUGCCCAUUGACAGAGGAGUGGAUAAAGAAGACAUGGUACAUAUACACAAUGGAAUAUUACUCAGCCAUUAAAAGGAAAGAAAUAAUGGCAUUUGUAGUAACAUGGAUAGACCUAGAAAUUAUCAUGCUAAGUGAAGUUAGCCAGACAGUGAGACACCAACAUCAAAUGCUCUUACUUACAUGUGGAAUCUAAAUAAAGGACACAAUGGGGAGUUCCCAUCAUGGUGCAGCAGAAACGAAUCUGACUGGGAACCGUGGGGUUGUGGGUUCUAUCCCUGCCCUCACUCAGUGGGUUAGAGAUCCGGCGUUGCUAUGAGCUGUGGUGUAAGUCACAGAUGUGGAUCAGAUCUGGCGUUGCUGUGGCUGUGGCAUAGGCUCGUGGCAACAGCUCUGAUUAGACCCCUAGCCUGGGAACCUCCAUAUGCCAUGGGUGCAGCCCUAAAAAGACAAAAGACAAAAAAAAAAAAAACAAAAAAAGGACAUAAUGAACUUCUUUGCAGAACAGAUACUGACUCACAGACUUUGAAAAACUUAUGGUUUCCAAAUGAGACAGGUUGGGGGGGGGGGCGUUGGGGGUUUGGGAUGGAAAUGCUAUAAAAUUGGGUUGUGAUUAUCAUUGUACAAUUACAUAUACAAAAAAAGGACUCCAUACUAAAAAACCAAAAUCUAACACAGUAGCUGGCAACUAAAUAGUUAAUACUUACCCGAAUGAAUCCAUAAUGAUAUAUCAGUUUAAGGAAACACUAAUUUUCUCAGAGUUCUUUUUCUUCAUGGCUGAGUCCUCACCCA
RNAcentral lists this long non-coding RNA (2683 nucleotides) under Sus scrofa (pig). Its description in RNAcentral is "lncRNA (ENSSSCG00060058928.1)". The record is from RNAcentral. Lineage: Eukaryota; Metazoa; Chordata; Mammalia; Artiodactyla; Suidae.